GACGAACGCUGGCGGCGUGCUUAACACAUGCAAGUCGAACGGAAAGGCCCUGCUUGCCGGGUGCUCGAGUGGCGAACGGGUGAGUAACACGUGGGUGAUCUGCCCCUUACUUUGGGAUAAGCCUGGGAAACUGGGUCUAAUACUGGAUAGGACCAUGCUGUAGGUGGUGUGGUGGAAAGAUUAGUUUCGGUAAGGGAUGAGCUCGCGGCCUAUCAGCUUGUUGGUGGGGUAAUGGCCUACCAAGGCGUCGACGGGUAGCCGGCCUGAGAGGGUGGACGGCCACAUUGGGACUGAGGUACGGCCCAGACUCCUACGGGAGGCAGCAGUGGGGAAUAUUGCACAAUGGGCGCAAGCCUGAUGCAGCGACGCCGCGUGGGGGAUGACGGCCUUCGGGUUGUAAACUCCUUUCAGCCAUGACGAAGCCCUUGUGGUGACGGUAGUGGUAGAAGAAGCACCGGCUAACUACGUG
Molecule: ribosomal RNA, 469 nt
Filed under: uncultured bacterium
Lineage: Bacteria
Description: partial 16S ribosomal RNA
Rfam family: Bacterial small subunit ribosomal RNA
Source: RNAcentral